This 919-nucleotide ribosomal RNA is filed under the name uncultured bacterium. Its description in RNAcentral is "bacterial SSU rRNA". It matches the Rfam family "Bacterial small subunit ribosomal RNA", at positions 33 to 933 of the family's 1533-position model. The record is from RNAcentral.
ACGCUGGCGGCGUGCCUAAUACAUGCAAGUCGAACGAGAGCGACCGGUGCUUGCACUGGUCAAUCUAGUGGCGAACGGGUGAGUAACACGUGGGUAAUCUGCCCAUCAGAGGGGGAUAACAUUCGGAAACGGAUGCUAAAACCGCAUAGGUCUUCGAACCGCAUGGUUUGAAGAGGAAAAGAGGCGCAAGCUUCUGCUGAUGGAUGGACCCGCGGUGCAUUAGCUAGUUGGUGAGGUACGGCUCACCAAGGCCGUGAUGCAUAGCCGACCUGAGAGGGUGAUCGGCCACAUUGGGACUGAGACACGGCCCAAACUCCUACGGGAGGCAGCAGUAGGGAAUCUUCCGCAAUGGACGCAAGUCUGACGGAGCAACGCCGCGUGAGUGAAGAAGGUUUUCGGAUCGUAAAACUCUGUUGUUAGAGAAGAACAAGUGCUAGAGUAACUGUUAGCGCCUUGACGGUAUCUAACCAGAAAGCCACGGCUAACUACGUGCCAGCAGCCGCGGUAAUACGUAGGUGGCAAGCGUUGUCCGGAUUUAUUGGGCGUAAAGCGAGCGCAGGCGGUUCCUUAAGUCUGAUGUGAAAGCCCCCGGCUCAACCGGGGAGGGUCAUUGGAAACUGGGGAACUUGAGUGCAGAAGAGGAGAGUGGAAUUCCAUGUGUAGCGGUGAAAUGCGUAGAUAUAUGGAGGAACACCAGUGGCGAAGGCGACUCUCUGGUCUGUAACUGACGCUGAGGCUCGAAAGCGUGGGUAGCAAACAGGAUUAGAUACCCUGGUAGUCCACGCCGUAAACGAUGAGUGCUAAGUGUUGGAGGGUUUCCGCCCUUCAGUGCUGCAGUUAACGCAUUAAGCACUCCGCCUGGGGAGUACGACCGCAAGGUUGAAACUCAAAGGAAUUGACGGGGACCCGCACAAGCGGU